AAACAUGCUAAAGGUCAUUUGCAAUAUAUUGAAAGCAUAUAGUAUGAAACAUUUAUCUUUUUGACAGUUCAUAUAUUUACAUAAAAGAAGAACAAAGUGCAACUAUAGAUAUAAGUUGGCAAUGCAACAAUUGAUGAUUAUUAGUUGAACUUAUGAACUUAUAGUAGAAGCAAUUAAUAUUUACGUAAUAAAUAUUAAUCUAGAGAACUAAAUCAACAAUGAAAUAUAUGCCCAUCGGGAUUGAUAGUAUUAUCUCAUUAUGCAUUCUAGGACGCUGGAUCAACUUGAUAACGUUCGGAUUCUGAGAUGCGAUUCUUGUAUCUGCGGAUGAAAUCUUCAGCUCUCCUGUUAAUAUUGGGCUCAGCAACACCCCAGUUACCUUUGUCUUCAUCGCUAGGCCAAGUCUUGCGCCCACAAUCAUCAUAGUAUCCUGCCCUAGACUUAUUCUUAGAUGUGAAGCAAUUGAAAAUUGAGAAGAAACCUGAAGAAGACUUGUUCUGCCUAUUACCAUCUCCCAUGGUGAUUAAUGGCUAAGUUUUUU
Molecule: long non-coding RNA, 541 nt
Filed under: Medicago truncatula (barrel medic)
Lineage: Eukaryota; Viridiplantae; Streptophyta; Magnoliopsida; Fabales; Fabaceae
Description: long non-coding RNA (MTRU_LNC007232)
Source: RNAcentral